UUAAGUUAUUAAGGGCGCACGGUGGAUGCCUUGGCACUAGAAGCCGAUGAAGGACGUUACUAACGACGAUAUGCUUUGGGGAGCUGUAAGUAAGCUUUGAUCCAGAGAUUUCCGAAUGGGGAAACCCAGCAUGAGUUAUGUCAUGUUAUCGAUAUGUGAAUACAUAGCAUAUCAGAAGGCACACCCGGAGAACUGAAACAUCUUAGUACCCGGAGGAAGAGAAAGAAAAUUCGAUUCCCUUAGUAGCGGCGAGCGAAACGGGAAGAGCCCAAACCAACAAGCUUGCUUGUUGGGGUUGUAGGACACUCUAUACGGAGUUACAAAGGACGACAUUAGACGAAUCAUCUGGAAAGAUGAAUCAAAGAAGGUAAUAAUCCUGUAGUCGAAAAUGUUGUCUCUCUUGAGUGGAUCCUGAGUACGACGGAGCACGUGAAAUUCCGUCGGAAUCUGGGAGGACCAUCUCCUAAGGCUAAAUACUCUCUAGUGACCGAUAGUGAACCAGUACCGUGAGGGAAAGGUGAAAAGCACCCCGGAAGGGGAGUGAAAUAGAACCUGAAACCGUGUGCUUACAAGUAGUCAGAGCCCGUUAAUGGGUGAUGGCGUGCCUUUUGUAGAAUGAACCGGCGAGUUACGAUUUGAUGCAAGGUUAAGCAGUAAAUGUGGAGCCGUAGCGAAAGCGAGUCUGAAUAGGGCGUUUAGUAUUUGGUCGUAGACCCGAAACCAGGUGAUCUACCCUUGGUCAGGUUGAAGUUCAGGUAACACUGAAUGGAGGACCGAACCGACUUACGUUGAAAAGUGAGCGGAUGAACUGAGGGUAGCGGAGAAAUUCCAAUCGAACCUGGAGAUAGCUGGUUCUCUCCGAAAUAGCUUUAGGGCUAGCCUCAAGUGAUGAUUAUUGGAGGUAGAGCACUGUUUGGACGAGGGGCCCCUCUCGGGUUACCGAAUUCAGACAAACUCCGAAUGCCAAUUAAUUUAACUUGGGAGUCAGAACAUGGGUGAUAAGGUCCGUGUUCGAAAGGGAAACAGCCCAGACCACCAGCUAAGGUCCCAAAAUAUAUGUUAAGUGGAAAAGGAUGUGGCGUUGCCCAGACAACUAGGAUGUUGGCUUAGAAGCAGCCAUCAUUUAAAGAGUGCGUAAUAGCUCACUAGUCGAGUGACACUGCGCCGAAAAUGUACCGGGGCUAAACAUAUUACCGAAGCUGUGGAUUGUCCUUUGGACAAUGGUAGGAGAGCGUUCUAAGGGCGUUGAAGCAUGAUCGUAAGGACAUGUGGAGCGCUUAGAAGUGAGAAUGCCGGUGUGAGUAGCGAAAGACGGGUGAGAAUCCCGUCCACCGAUUGACUAAGGUUUCCAGAGGAAGGCUCGUCCGCUCUGGGUUAGUCGGGUCCUAAGCUGAGGCCGACAGGCGUAGGCGAUGGAUAACAGGUUGAUAUUCCUGUACCACCUAUAAUCGUUUUAAUCGAUGGGGGGACGCAGUAGGAUAGGCGAAGCGUGCGAUUGGAUUGCACGUCUAAGCAGUAAGGCUGAGUAUUAGGCAAAUCCGGUACUCGUUAAGGCUGAGCUGUGAUGGGGAGAAGACAUUGUGUCUUCGAGUCGUUGAUUUCACACUGCCGAGAAAAGCCUCUAGAUAGAAAAUAGGUGCCCGUACCGCAAACCGACACAGGUAGUCAAGAUGAGAAUUCUAAGGUGAGCGAGCGAACUCUCGUUAAGGAACUCGGCAAAAUGACCCCGUAACUUCGGGAGAAGGGGUGCUCUUUAGGGUUAACGCCCAGAAGAGCCGCAGUGAAUAGGCCCAAGCGACUGUUUAUCAAAAACACAGGUCUCUGCUAAACCGUAAGGUGAUGUAUAGGGGCUGACGCCUGCCCGGUGCUGGAAGGUUAAGAGGAGUGGUUAGCUUCUGCGAAGCUACGAAUCGAAGCCCCAGUAAACGGCGGCCGUAACUAUAACGGUCCUAAGGUAGCGAAAUUCCUUGUCGGGUAAGUUCCGACCCGCACGAAAGGCGUAACGAUUUGGGCACUGUCUCAACGAGAGACUCGGUGAAAUCAUAGUACCUGUGAAGAUGCAGGUUACCCGCGACAGGACGGAAAGACCCCGUGGAGCUUUACUGUAGCCUGAUAUUGAAAUUCGGCACAGCUUGUACAGGAUAGGUAGGAGCCUUUGAAACGUGAGCGCUAGCUUACGUGGAGGCGCUGGUGGGAUACUACCCUAGCUGUGUUGGCUUUCUAACCCGCACCACUUAUCGUGGUGGGAGACAGUGUCAGGCGGGCAGUUUGACUGGGGCGGUCGCCUCCUAAAAGGUAACGGAGGCGCUCAAAGGUUCCCUCAGAAUGGUUGGAAAUCAUUCAUAGAGUGUAAAGGCAUAAGGGAGCUUGACUGCGAGACCUACAAGUCGAGCAGGGUCGAAAGACGGACUUAGUGAUCCGGUGGUUCCGCAUGGAAGGGCCAUCGCUCAACGGAUAAAAGCUACCCCGGGGAUAACAGGCUUAUCUCCCCCAAGAGUUCACAUCGACGGGGAGGUUUGGCACCUCGAUGUCGGCUCAUCGCAUCCUGGGGCUGUAGUCGGUCCCAAGGGUUGGGCUGUUCGCCCAUUAAAGCGGUACGCGAGCUGGGUUCAGAACGUCGUGAGACAGUUCGGUCCCUAUCCGUCGUGGGCGUAGGAAAUUUGAGAGGAGCUGUCCUUAGUACGAGAGGACCGGGAUGGACAUACCUCUGGUGUACCAGUUGUCGUGCCAACGGCAUAGCUGGGUAGCUAUGUGUGGACGGGAUAAGUGCUGAAAGCAUCUAAGCAUGAAGCCCCCCCUCAAGAUGAGAUUUCCCAACUUCGGUUAUAAGAUCCCUCAAAGAUGAUGAGGUUAAUAGGUUCGAGGUGGAAGCAUGGUGACAUGUGGAGCUGACGAAUACUAAUCGAUCGAAGACUUAAUCAA
This 2922-nucleotide ribosomal RNA is filed under the name Staphylococcus aureus. RNAcentral's name for it is "bacterial LSU rRNA". It matches the Rfam family "Bacterial large subunit ribosomal RNA". RNAcentral also lists the same sequence under 1 other name. Lineage: Bacteria; Bacillati; Bacillota; Bacilli; Caryophanales; Staphylococcaceae. The record is from RNAcentral.